This 1706-nucleotide ribosomal RNA is filed under the name soil metagenome. RNAcentral's name for it is "bacterial LSU rRNA". It matches the Rfam family "Bacterial large subunit ribosomal RNA", at positions 631 to 2438 of the family's 2925-position model. The record is from RNAcentral.
AUUUGACGAGCAAGCUUAAGCCGAUAGGCGUAGGCGCAGCGAAAGCGAGUCUGAAUAGGGCGUCCAAGUUCGUCGGAUUAGACCCGAAACCUAGUGAUCUAGCCAUGGUCAGGUUGAAGGUGGGGUAACACCUACUGGAGGACCGAACCGGUGUCUGUUGAAAAAGCCUCGGAUGAACUGUGGCUAGGGGUGAAAGGCCAACCAAACUGGGAAAUAGCUGGUUUUCCGCGAAAGAUAUUUAGGUAUCGCCUCGCGUGAAUGCUUUGGGGGGUAGAGCACUGGAUGGGCUAGGGGGACUUACCGUCUUACCAAACCUAACCAAACUCCGAAUACCCAAAAGCACUACUCGGGAGUCACACGGUGGGUGCUAACGUCCAUCGUGGAGAGGGAAAAAACCCUGACCAACAGCUAAGGCCCCUAAUUCGUGGCUAAGUGUGAAAGGAUGUGGGAAUCCCAUAACAACCAGGAGGUUGGCUUAGAAGCAGCCAUCCUUUAAAGAAAGCGUAACAGCUCACUGGUCUAAACAAGGAUUCCUGCGCCGAAAAUGUAACGGGGCUCAAGCCACGAGCCGAAGCUUUGGGUGUGUCAGUCCUGCGGGAUUGAUACGCGGUAGCGGAACGUUCUGUAAGCCCGUGAAGGGAGACCCGUGAGGGCUCCUGGAGGUAUCAGAAGUGCGAAUGCUGGCACGAGUAACGAAAAACAGUGUGAAAGACACUGUCGCCGAAAGUCCAAGGGUUCCUGCGUAAAGCUAAUCUGCGCAGGGUUAGCCGGUCCCUAAGGCGAGGCCGAAAGGCGUAGUCGAUGGGAAUGCAGUCAAUAUUCUGCAGCCAGUGGGUAGUGACGAAUUCCGUAAGUUGUUCUCUCUUAUUGGAUUGAGAGGGCUGCGAAGGAGUUCCAGGAAAUAGCUCCCACAUAGACCGUACCCGAAACCGACACAGGUGGACUGGUAGAGAAUACCAAGGCGCUUGAGCGAACUAUGUUGAAGGAACUCGGCAAUUUACCUCCGUAACUUCGGGAUAAGGAGGACCCUUUGUUGGGCAACCAGCUAAGGGUGGCACAGACCAGGGGGUGGCGACUGUUUAACAAAAACACAGGGCUCUGCGAACUCGGAAGAGGACGUAUAGGGUCUGACGCCUGCCCGGUGCCGGAAGGUUAAGAGGAGGGGUGCAAGCCUUGAAUCGAAGCCCCGGUAAACGGCGGCCGUAACUAUAACGGUCCUAAGGUAGCGAAAUUCCUUGUCGGGUAAGUUCCGACCUGCACGAAUGGCGUAACGACUUCCCCGCUGUCUCCAGCAUAGGCUCAGUGAAAUUGAAUUCCCCGUGAAGAUGCGGGGUUCCUGCGGUCAGACGGAAAGACCCCGUGCACCUUUACUAUAGCUUUGCAAUGGCAUUCGUGACUGCUUGUGUAGGAUAGCUGGUAGACUUUGAAGCUCGGGCGCCAGCUCGGGUGGAGUCGAAAAGUGAAAUACCAGCCUAGUGGUUAUGGCUGUCUAACCGCGUCCCGUUAUCCGGGGCCGGGACAUUGCAUGGUGGGUAGUUUGACUGGGGCGGUCGCCUCCCAAAGAGUAACGGAGGCGUGCGAUGGUAGGCUCAGAGCGGUCGGAAAUCGCUCGUUGAGUGCAAUGGCAUAAGCCUGCCUGACUGCGAGACUUACAAGUCGAGCAGAGACGAAAGUCGGUCAUAGUGAUCCGGUGGUCCCGCGUGGAA